AACGACAUAAUUCCAACAACACUAUUUAAAUAUUGGACAUAAAUUAAUAUAGUACACUCAACAACCUUUUUAGGUCAAAUGCCACAAACGCCAUUGGAUGAUAAACAUCAUGGGUAACAAAUCAUGGUACAAAUGUUUUGAAAGGAGAAUAUAGGACAGAAAAAGUUACAGUACAGUUUGUCGAUGAAAACAAUGAAAAGAAAGAUCCUUGAAACUCCUUGACAAACCUCAAGAUAGAUAAUGCGGAAAAAAACAAACACACUAUAGUACUAAUGUAGACGUGGAUUGGUGCAUUCCUCCCAUGAUUUUCCAAAGAUUUGAAGCCCUGAAAAUAACAACUUAGAACACUAAAUAUCAUCAAAAUCCUAGGUAAUGUGUAUACUAGAAAAAAUUGAAUUGCAUGUCAACGAAAAUUAAGAACACAAAAAAUAAAAAUGAUGUUGAUCUCCAAAUUUUCCUUCUUUUAUCACUCAAACUGAAUUAGAGACAAAUUUUGAUUUUUCUUUUUGUUUAAAAUUUUCUAUUAUUAUUAUUAUUUAUUAUUUUUUUUGUCAGGCUUGAAAUUUCAUCUUUAAAGAUGGUUAAGUGGAGUAUCCGAUGUUCGAACUCCGGCUCCUGCAUAUAAAAUGCUGAUGUCCCUACCAAUUGAGCUAAACUCACGGGAACAUUAUUAUUAUUAUUAUUAUUAUUAUUAAUUAAUAAUUUGGCGAUAUUUAUUUCAAGUUAUAUUUUUAAUUUCCUGAGAAUAAAAUGAUAGAAAAAUGCAUUUGUGUUCUAUAAAAAAAAAAUGCAUUUGUGUAUUUGUUAGAAGUUUAAUAAAUUUUAUUCUCAUGUAUAAAAGAUUUCUGGAAAAUGCAUUUUUGUCAUUUUAUGCGAUUGUGAAUAAAAUUUAUUUAAUAAGGGAAUUGGAAAAUGCAUUUGUAUCAUUUUUCCCCCUUACUAAUUUUAUAUAACUUUUAUUAAAAGCAGAAAGAUUUAUUUUUAGAUCAGGGUCAUAUUUUUUUAAAAAAAAACUCAGUAUCCAGUCUAGUCCAAGAUCGCCAGAUCAAGUUGAUAUUAAACACUCUCCCGUUUUUUUGACUAAAUUACACUCUCCCGUUAAUUACACUUUUAUCAGUGAAUUAAUUAAAAGAUUUUUUAAAGUAUUAUGAUGGUUUUUCACUUUCUUUCUGUAUUGUAUUGCACCGAUGGAUAUUUUGGUGUAUUUUUUUUUUUUUAUCUUUUUUUUGGUGUAUUUUGUAUUGCAGAAUUUAUGUUGGAUAUAUUUAUUCUAAGAAGAGAAAUAUUUUUAUAUGGGAAAAUAAACUUCAAUUCUCUUAUUCAUUCUCAUUCCUAUUCUCUUGUUCUCACAUAUUAAGAAACAGAAAAAUGACAGAAGUCUCCAAAUUUGUUAUUCUUAAAACAUAGAGUCAGGGUUAAAAUUAAAGAUGAAUUCCAAGUUUUUCUUUCUCUAUAUAUCAUCAAAAUUCUAGGGUUAUUUUUAGAGCCAACGUUUACCAAAGAAAUUUAAGAACAAAUUUUCCAUCUUUUAUCACUCUAAUUAAAAUAGAAUUAGAGACAAAUUUUUAUUAAUAAUAAUAUUCAACUUUUUUCAUAGUAAAUUAUAACAAAUUAUUUUUUAAGAAGCUCUCUUUUCUUUCUUGAGAAGUUUCUUUUAAUCAUACUUUGAGAGAAGGAAACGAAUGUGCUGAUUGGUUGGCAAAAUUUGGGGCCACUAACGUCGAAUUCUUGAAGAUGUGGAGUUCUCCUCCUGCACAAUUGAAUAUCAUCCUGCUUGCGGAUACUUCUGGGGUCCUAAGGCAGCGGAUUGGCUAUUGUUUUUUUCCUCUAUUUUUGUUUUUUUUAUUUCCCUUUGAUAAAAAAAAAUAUUUUUUAAGAAGAUACUACUAAUUUUUGUUUUGAUUGUGAAAAAAAAAUUAUUAGCAACAAAAUUUCAUGUUUUACAUCUCUAAUAAUUUUCCUUUUUUUUUGGAAAGGCCAAGAUAAUAAAUUAUAUUAAUUGAAAGCAAGGAAAAAGGUAAGGUAUGCCAUAGUACACAAGAUAAUUUUCAAUUUUUAAUCAAUUUUUUUUAGUAAAUUAGCAAUUAUUUUUCAUGAAAAACAAAACACAAACUGACACACAUGACAUACCUGUAGAAAGAUUCAUGCUAGCUAUUGCA
RNAcentral lists this long non-coding RNA (2159 nucleotides) under Trifolium pratense (red clover). Its description in RNAcentral is "long non-coding RNA (TPRA_LNC011858)". The record is from RNAcentral. Lineage: Eukaryota; Viridiplantae; Streptophyta; Magnoliopsida; Fabales; Fabaceae.